GACAGAGGGUGCAAACGUUGUUCGGAAUUACUGGGCGUAAAGCGCGUGUAGGCGGCUAAGCAAGUCGGGCGUGAAAUCCCACCGCUCAACGGUGGAAGUGCACCCGAAACUGCAUAGCUAGAGUCCUGGAGAGGAAGGUGGAAUGCUUGGUGUAGAGGUGAAAUUCGUAGAUAUCAAGCGGAACACCGGUGGCGAAGGCGGGUCUCUGGGCCGAUACUGACGCUGAGGAGCGAAAGCGUGGGGAGCGAACAGG
This 253-nucleotide ribosomal RNA is filed under the name uncultured bacterium. Its description in RNAcentral is "partial 16S ribosomal RNA". It matches the Rfam family "Bacterial small subunit ribosomal RNA", at positions 524 to 776 of the family's 1533-position model. The record is from RNAcentral.